AGGAGCCCCUUAGUCGCCCCUCUUGACUCUCCAGCUUCCUACAAUCCCGCUCUUCUUCCUUGGAGCUCAGGCAGAGCCAACCGCAGGCGCCGGAAGGAGGGACAUCCGCCGCACGCACGCAGGUUCGCGCGCACCCAGUCCGAGACUUCGCCUGGUCUCUCAGAGCUCCUGGUAACGCCAGCGGAAGCGGGAGGAUGUAGGGCUGCGCGGGUCAGGUGGCGAGUCUGAUACUCCUCCCCAGGCUGAGGACACGCCUCAGGGAGUCAGCCCCGGCCUGCAAGAGCUUACGCCUGUCUGUCCCACUGAAUGCAACAAAAAUCUUGGGCAGAAUACAUGGAGCAGUUAUAUGAGGACAAGGAAGUCAGCCCUCGUCUAAACCAGCGAUCAUACAACAGAAUUUAAGAAUGUGAAACAGUUGAAAUCAUACGAAGUAUGUUCUAUGAUAAUAAGGUAAUUAAACUGCAAAUCAGUAAAUCGCAGGACAAUCUCCAAACACUUGUAAACUAAACACUGCACGUCUAAAUAAUCUAAAGGUCAAAGAAGAAAUGUCAAAGGAAAUAGAAAAUAAUUGAAUAAAAAUUAAAAUACAACAUAUCAAAAUUUUUGAGAUGCAACUAAGUGAUUAAAGUCAAAUUUUGUCAAGUAUGGAGUAAAGUAAUUAAAUCCCAUCUUGAGAUCUAACACACUGUGAAGAUAUGGCUUGAAGUUAUAAGUGCACAUACUCAAGUCAGCACCCAGAGAUUUAAAAGUCAACAAGCAGAGGGACCAAGGCCUAAUUGUGGUAGGAGUUGUUACCCAUACUCAGAACCUAGAAAUCUGGAAUGUUAAAAGUAGAAUGAACAAGGUCUUGUUGCCCUGGGAGUGGUUCUGUUUAUUCACAUCCUCUGAGAGAGCAGUGAGGAAAAGGCUACGGUUAUUAGAAGUAGUUGCCCAUUCUCACAAUAUAGGUAUAUUUGUUUUCUACCAACCAGAGGAUUUAAUAUCUGGUAUUCUGGGUGUAGCUGCCCAUCCUCAGAAUCUGGACAUUCUGGAUCCAAUACAAAGAGGACAUGAAGCUUUCUUGCUUAAGAAAUACUUGCCCAGAAUUGGAUCCUAGAAACCAAAGAUUCACAAACAGAACAAAAGAGGUGCCCUGGAUGUUAUUGUCCAUGCUUAGAACCUAGGGAACUUGGGUCCAAGAAGCAAAUGACAAAAGGCCAUGAUGAUCAUAUAGGAGUUGUUCUUCCUCAGAACCUGGAAACAUUGGGUCCAAUGUAAAGGGGAGACGAGGCCUUGUUGUCCAGGGAAGAAUUGCUCAUACUUGGAUCUUGUACAGCAAAUCUUUUAACAAGCAAAGGAGACAAGAUUUAGUAUUCUGGUAAUAGUAGCUGAUACUCCAAACCUACAAUUUGGGAUUCAACACAUAAAGGACACAAGGUGUUUUACCCUGGAAGUAAUUACCAUUACUCAAAACCUAGAGAAUUGAAAUAGCAAAAGAAGAGGACAAAUGGCUUUCUUGCCCAAAGAGUAGUUACCUAUACUCAGAACCUAGAGACUUUGAUUCUGACAAGUACAGGAAUCAAGGCCUCCUUGCUCUAUAAUAAUUACCCUUAUUUGUAACCGGGAGAGUUGGGGUACAAAAAUAGAAGAUGCAAGGUCAUAAUGCCAGUUUGCUGCCAGAAUGCAUUCUGGGGAGGCAGCAGCACCAGAUCCAAGAUGGCGGCCAGCAGGAGGCUGAUGAAGGAGCUUGAAGAAAUCCGCAAAUGUAGAAUGAAAAACUUCUGUAACAUCCAGGUUGAUGAAGCUAACUUAUUGACUUGGCAAGGGCUUAUUGUUCCUGACAACCCUCCAUAUGAUAAGGAGGCCUUCAGAAUUGAAAUCAAUUUUCCAGCAGAGUACCCAUUCAAACCACCGAAGAUCACGUUUAAAACAAAGAUCUAUCACCCGAACAUUGAUGAAAAGGGGCAGGUCUGUCUGCCAGUAAUUAGUGCUGAAAACUGGAAGCCAGCAACCAAAACCGACCAAGUAAUCUAGUCCCUCAUAGCACUGGUGAACGACCCCCAGCCCAAGCACCCACUCCAGGCUGACCUAGCUGAAGAAUACUCUAAGGACCGUAAAAAAUUCUGUAAGAAUGCUGAAGAGUUUACAAAGAAAUAUGGGGAAAAGCGACCUGUGGACUAAAAUCUGCCGCGAUUGAUUCCAGCAAGUGUGAGCAGAGACCCCGAGCAGUGCAUUCAGACAUCCCACAAAGCAGGACUCUGUGGAAAAUUGACACGUGCCACUGCCUGGCGUUCGCUUGUGGCAGUUACUAACUUUCUACAGUUUUCUUAAUCAAAAGUGGUUUAGGUAACCUGUAAAGAAAGGAUUAAAAAUUUAAGAUGUUCUA
This is a non-coding RNA of Microcebus murinus (gray mouse lemur), 2365 nucleotides long. Lineage: Eukaryota; Metazoa; Chordata; Mammalia; Primates; Cheirogaleidae. The record is from RefSeq and is a predicted model, not a curated record.